GAUGAACGCUGGCGGCGUGCCUAAUACAUGCAAGUCGAGCGAACAGACGAGGAGCUUGCUCCUCUGACGUUAGCGGCGGACGGGUGAGUAACACGUGGAUAACCUACCUAUAAGACUGGGAUAACUUCGGGAAACCGGAGCUAAUACCGGAUAAUAUAUUGAACCGCAUGGUUCAAUAGUGAAAGACGGUUUUGCUGUCACUUAUAGAUGGAUCCGCGCCGCAUUAGCUAGUUGGUAAGGUAACGGCUUACCAAGGCAACGAUGGGUAGCCGACCUGAGAGGGUGAUCGGCCACACUGGAACUGAGACACGGUCCAGACUCCUACGGGAGGCAGCAGUAGGGAAUCUUCCGCAAUGGGCGGAAGCCUGACGGAGCAACGCCGCGUGAGUGAUGAAGGUCUUCGGAUCGUAAAACUCUGUUAUUAGGGAAGAACAAAUGUGUAAGUAACUAUGCACGUCUUGACGGUACCUAAUCAGAAAGCCACGGCUAACUACGUG
Molecule: ribosomal RNA, 497 nt
Filed under: uncultured bacterium
Lineage: Bacteria
Description: partial 16S ribosomal RNA
Rfam family: Bacterial small subunit ribosomal RNA
Source: RNAcentral